This 1485-nucleotide ribosomal RNA is filed under the name metagenome. Its description in RNAcentral is "bacterial SSU rRNA". It matches the Rfam family "Bacterial small subunit ribosomal RNA". The record is from RNAcentral.
CUGGCGGCGUGGCUAAAACAUGCAAGUCGAACGCGAACGAGACCUUCGGGUCUUUAUUAGAGUGGCGAAAGGGCGAGGAAUACUUGGGUAACGUACCCUGGGCACUGGGAUAGCUGCGGGAAACUGCAGGUAAUACCAGAUGACACCGAAGGAUCGCAGGGUCUUUCGGUCAAUGGGUGGGGAUCUCUUCGGAGACCUAUCGGCCUAGGAGCGGCCCAAGUCCUAUCAGCUUGUUGGUGAGGUAACGGCUCACCAAGGCUUCGACGGGUACCGGGACUGAGAGGUUGACCCGGCGCAUUGGGACUGAGACACUGCCCAGACUCCUACGGGAGGCUGCAGUAACGAAUAUUGGACAAUGGACGAAAGUCUGAUCCAGCGACGCCGCGUGUAGGAAGAAGUCUUUCGGGAUGUAAACUACUGUCAGGGACCACCAAGCAAUCGAGGUUAAUACCCUUGUGCGUUGAGGAAUCCCAGAGGAAGUCACGGCUAACUUCGUGCCAGCAGCCGCGGUAAUACGAAGGUGGCGAACGUUGUUCGGAAUCGGGGCUUAAAGAGCACGUAGGCGGACUGUCAAGCGUCAUGUGAAAGCCCUCGGCUUAACCGAGGAACGGCUUGGCGAACUGGCAGUCUUGAGGCAGGUAGGGGCAACUGGAACUCAUGGUGGAGAGGUGGAAUGCGUAGAUAUCAUGAGGAACGCCGGAGGCGAAGGCGAGUUGCUGGGCCUGUCCUGACGCUGAGGUGCGAAAGCUAGGGUAGCGAACGGGAUUAGAUACCCCGGUAGUCCUAGCCCUAAACGAUGUCCACUAGGUCGGAGGCACUCUGACGUGUUUCUGGCCGAAAUGAAAACGGUAAGUGGACCGCCUGGGGAGUACGGUCGCAAGGCUAAAACUCAAAGGAAUUGACGGGGGCUCACACAAGCGGUGGAGCAUGUUGCUUAAUUCGAUUCAACGCGAAGAACCUUAUCCUGGGUUUGACAUGCUUGGAUGCCCAUCUGGAAACAGAGUAGGCUGCCCUUCGGGGUGAAACUUGCACGGGUGCUGCAUGGCUGUCGUCAGCUCGUGUCGUGAGAUGUUGGGUUAAGUCCCGUAACGAGCGAAACCCUUGUCGUUAGUUGCCAGCGCGUUAUGGCGGGGACUCUAACGAGACUGCCGGUGUCAAACCGGAGGAAGGUGGGGAUGACGUCAAGUCCUCAUGGCCUUUAUGCCCAGGGCUGCAAACGUGCUACAAUGGCUGGUACAAACCGAAGCAAGACCGCGAGGUGGAGCAAAUCGGAAAAAGCCAGCCCCAGUUCGGAUAGGAGUCUGCAACUCGACUCCUUGAAGUUGGAAUCGCUAGUAAUCGCGUAUCAGCGUGACGCGGUGAAUGUGUUCCUGAGCCUUGUACACACCGCCUGUCAAGUCAUGGAAGCCGGGAGCACCCGAAGUCGCCCCAAUUCAGGGGUGCCGAAGGUGAGUUCGGUAACUAGGACUAAGUCAGAACAAGGUA